RNAcentral lists this ribosomal RNA (484 nucleotides) under uncultured bacterium. Its description in RNAcentral is "partial 16S ribosomal RNA". It matches the Rfam family "Bacterial small subunit ribosomal RNA", at positions 30 to 507 of the family's 1533-position model. The record is from RNAcentral.
AUUGAACGCUGGCGGCAGGCCUAACACAUGCAAGUCGAGCGGAUGAAGGGAGCUUGCUCCUGGAUUCAGCGGCGGACGGGUGAGUAAUGCCUAGGAAUCUGCCUGGUAGUGGGGGAUAACGUCCGGAAACGGGCGCUAAUACCGCAUACGUCCUGAGGGAGAAAGUGGGGGAUCUUCGGACCUCACGCUAUCAGAUGAGCCUAGGUCGGAUUAGCUAGUUGGUGGGGUAAAGGCCUACCAAGGCGACGAUCCGUAACUGGUCUGAGAGGAUGAUCAGUCACACUAGAACUGAGACACGGUCCAGACUCCUACGGGAGACAGCAGUGGGGAAUAUUGGACAGUGGGCGAAAGCCUGAUCCAGCCAUGCCGCGUGUGUGAAGAAGGUCUUCGGAUUGUAAAGCACUUUAAGUUGGGAGGAAGGGCAGUAAGUUAAUACCUUGCUGUUUUGACGUUACCAACAGAAUAAGCACCGGCUAACUUCGUG